GCCAGUCCAAGGCCCAACCUUGGAAUGUCCUUCAAAACCCCUAUACUAGAGUAUGGAUCACGAGAGUGGAAUGCCAUGUGGAGCGGUUAAAUGCGUAGAUAUAUGGAGGAAGACCAAAGGCGAAGGCAACUCUCUGGGCCAAAACUGACGCUGAGAAGCGAAAGCGUGGGUAGCAAAUGGGAUUAGAUACCCCACUAGUCCACGCCGUCAACGAUGAGUG
RNAcentral lists this ribosomal RNA (220 nucleotides) under Chloroparvula japonica. RNAcentral describes it as "partial Bacterial small subunit ribosomal RNA". It matches the Rfam family "Bacterial small subunit ribosomal RNA", at positions 596 to 815 of the family's 1533-position model. The record is from RNAcentral. Lineage: Eukaryota; Viridiplantae; Chlorophyta; Chloropicophyceae; Chloropicales; Chloropicaceae.